This 89-nucleotide non-coding RNA is filed under the name unclassified sequences. Its description in RNAcentral is "DUF3800-VII RNA". It matches the Rfam family "DUF3800-VII RNA". The record is from Rfam by way of RNAcentral.
UAUGAGUAAGCGUGGGAGAUGUAGAGGCAGCCUGUUUUAGGUAGCAGCCCGCAUGGGUGGGAUCCUCGGUUCCUAGGACUCACAUUUGA